AGAGUUUGAUCCUGGCUCAGAAUCAACGCUGGCGGCGUGCCUAACACAUGCAAGUCGCGCGCGAAAGGGGGGCAACCCCCAAGUAGAGCGGCGCACGGGUGAGUAACGCGUGGGUGAUCUGCCUCCGAGUGGGGAGUAACAGCGGGAAACUGCUGCUAAUACCGCAUGACAUCCUCGGUUCACACUGAGGAUCAAAGCCGGGGACCGCAAGGCCUGGCGCUUGGAGAUGAGCCCGCGUCCGAUUAGCUAGUUGGCGGGGUAACGGCCCACCAAGGCGACGAUCGGUAGCCGGCCUGAGAGGGCGGACGGCCACACUGGGACUGAGACACGGCCCAGACUCCUACGGGAGGCAGCAGUGGGGAAUUUUUCGCAAUGGGGGAAACCCUGACGAAGCAACGCCGCGUGGAGGAUGAAGGCCUUCGGGUCGUAAACUCCUGUCGACUGGGAAGAAUGCACCUGACCUAAUACGCCAAAGUGUUGACUGUACCGGUGGAGGAAGCCACGGCUAACUCUGUGCCAGCAGCCGCGGUAAUACAGAGGUGGCAAGCGUUGUUCGGAAUUACUGGGCGUAAAGGGCGCGUAGGCGGCCCGUCAAGUCCCGUGUGAAAGCCCCCGGCUCAACCGGGGAACGGCGCGGGAAACUAGCAGGCUUGAGUUCGGGAGAGGGAAGCGGAAUUCCGGGUGUAGCGGUGAAAUGCGCAGAUAUCCGGAGGAACACCGGUGGCGAAGGCGGCUUCCUGGACCGACACGGACGCUGAGGCGCGAAAGCUAGGGGAGCAAACGGGAUUAGAUACCCCGGU
RNAcentral lists this ribosomal RNA (800 nucleotides) under uncultured bacterium. Its description in RNAcentral is "bacterial SSU rRNA". It matches the Rfam family "Bacterial small subunit ribosomal RNA", at positions 8 to 791 of the family's 1533-position model. The record is from RNAcentral.